ACCAAAACCUCCUCAGAAACCUCAUUUUCCUCUCUAACCAAAUUCACAUACUCCUUAAAAGCAAUCUCACGUAAAUUUUCCGGGUCUUUCGCGACCAAUAAAACUCCAUUAUCCCAACCCCUGUCUCCUCUCUUUAAAUUAUGAAGAACCCGCGAAUCAUUUUUCAAAUCAGGGUCGUUUAAAGCUAAAUUAGGCAACAAAGCCACCGAAUUGGGUCCAUUAUUUGCAGUUUUCCUAUCCUCAGAUAUGAUUUUGAGCAAAUAAAGGACAGCCCACUUGUUAUUAAUGCUACCAGGCCCAGUUUUUAAUGCGAAUUUGUUAAAAAGAUCGGCGAAAGUAAGAGCCUGCGAGGACUUACCCUGAGUGGCAAGGCGGCGCUUUAUAGACUCAGCGAUAGCAGCUGCAUCAGGCGCAAUCGAGGGAGUUAAUCUGCUAGAGAGAAUACGGAUAGCGUAGCGAAGAGCAUUUUGGAAAUCGGGUGCAUUAGGGUUGUGGUUAGGGUUUGAAUUAGGGGCUUUAGAACUGGGGUUUUGGGAGAGUAAGCGAUGGACUAGCUCCUUGACUAGAUCUAGGAUCUUCUGCUGGUCUUCUUCCUCCAUUCCUCUUUUUUCCUUUUCUCAGAGAAAAGAGGAGAAAAAAAGAUAGAAAGCGAGUAAGGGGUUUGAUCAGCGUGUGAGUUGCUGAG
RNAcentral lists this unclassified non-coding RNA (685 nucleotides) under Hevea brasiliensis (rubber tree). The record is from RNAcentral. Lineage: Eukaryota; Viridiplantae; Streptophyta; Magnoliopsida; Malpighiales; Euphorbiaceae.